Molecule: ribosomal RNA, 396 nt
Filed under: uncultured bacterium
Lineage: Bacteria
Description: bacterial SSU rRNA
Rfam family: Bacterial small subunit ribosomal RNA
Source: RNAcentral
AUUGAACGCUGGCGGAAUGCUUUACACAUGCAAGUCGAACGGUAGAGGGGGCAACCCCUUGAGAGUGGCGAACGGGUGAGUAAUAUAUCGGAACGUGCCCAGUCGUGGGGGAUAACGUAGCGAAAGUUACGCUAAUACCGCAUACGAUCUACGGAUGAAAGCGGGGACCGUAAGGCCUCGCGCGAUUGGANCGGCCGAUAUCAGAUUAGGUAGUUGGUGGGGUAAAAGGCUCACCAAGCCAACGAUCUGUAGCUGGUCUGAGAGGACGACCAGCCACACUGGAACUGAGACACGGUCCAGACUCCUACGGAGGCAGCAGUGGGAAUUUUGGACAAUGGACGAAAGUCUGAUCCAGCCAUUCCGCGUGCAGGAUGAAGGCCCUCGGGUUGUAAACUG